RNAcentral lists this ribosomal RNA (375 nucleotides) under Clostridium sp. 1xD42-85. RNAcentral describes it as "bacterial SSU rRNA". It matches the Rfam family "Bacterial small subunit ribosomal RNA", at positions 1 to 357 of the family's 1533-position model. Lineage: Bacteria; Bacillati; Bacillota; Clostridia; Eubacteriales; Clostridiaceae. The record is from RNAcentral.
UUUAGACGAGAGUUUGAUCCUGGCUCAGGAUGAACGCUGGCGGCGUGCCUAACACAUGCAAGUCGAGCGAAGCGCUUGAAUCUGAUUCUUCGGAUGAGGAUUCUUGUGACUGAGCGGCGGACGGGUGAGUAACGCGUGGGCAACCUGCCUUACACAGGGGGAUAACAGUUAGAAAUGACUGCUAAUACCGCAUAAGACCGCAGUACCGCAUGGUACAGCGGUAAAAACUCCGGUGGUGUAAGAUGGGCCCGCGUCUGAUUAGGUAGUUGGCGGGGUAACGGCCCACCAAGCCGACGAUCAGUAGCCGACCUGAGAGGGUGACCGGCCACAUUGGGACUGAGACACGGCCCAGACUCCUACGGGAGGCAGCAGUGG